Molecule: microRNA precursor, 82 nt
Filed under: Cricetulus griseus (Chinese hamster)
Lineage: Eukaryota; Metazoa; Chordata; Mammalia; Rodentia; Cricetidae
Description: microRNA mir-30d (ENSCGRG00000021688.1)
Rfam family: mir-30 microRNA precursor family
About the family: This family consists of the mammalian microRNA (miRNA) precursor mir-30a. Animal miRNAs are transcribed as ~70nt precursors and subsequently processed by the Dicer enzyme to give a ~22nt product. In this case the mature sequence comes from both the 3' (miR-30) and 5' (mir-97-6) arms of the precursor.
Source: RNAcentral
AAGUCUGUGUCUGUAAACAUCCCCGACUGGAAGCUGUAAGCCACUUCCAAGCUUUCAGUCAGAUGUUUGCUGCCACCGGCUC